Molecule: long non-coding RNA, 6069 nt
Filed under: Brachypodium distachyon (stiff brome)
Lineage: Eukaryota; Viridiplantae; Streptophyta; Magnoliopsida; Poales; Poaceae
Description: long non-coding RNA (BDIS_LNC003394)
Source: RNAcentral
GAAGACGAAACCGACCUUGCUGAACUCGAGGCAAGGAACCCAUUUGGAGCGGAUGAGAUACUCGAUCUGCUUCAGGAGGGACUCCACGGUGAGAGGUGGCAGGUAGGAAAGGGUCUCGAACUUCUUGAUGCCCUCAAUUGGCCACACCUGCAAUUAGAUUAAAAUUAGCACACAAAGUGUGAUUUGAGACACAUAUCGAUGGAGUAUUUCACUUCACACAUAUCGGUAUGAUGAUAUACAUACCUGCAUGCUCGUGAUCCUGCCACCGUUGGAGACGCUGCCGAGGCCAGCGCCGGCAGAGCGGCGGCUGACGGGGAGCCCGGCGGUGGACUUGAGGCCCCGGAAAGGAGCAACAGCGGUAGCCGCCGCCGACAUCACUGUCGGACCCAUAGCAUCCACCCUUGUAUCACUAGAGUAUAUCUACUUAGCUAAUAUGCUAAGUUUGGCACGGAGAGAGGAGGUCGAGUGGACUUCAUUCCUGGUCACAAGGGUUUAUAUAUACCAUAUAACAUACGAGCAAUUUGUGAUUAAUUUGUUGUCGUUCUAGGAGAUGUGGAAAGGGUGGAUGCCGUUCGUUGGUUGCCUUAUCCGUUCUAGAGAAGGGAUGGAUGACCGACGCUCGCUCAGCCGUCUCCUUCGUCCAUCGUUGCCAAUCUUUCUAGCUAUAAUUGGAAGUUCCAAAGGAACAUACGGUUUCAUGCCUACUUCCAUCGGCCUAUCAUGUACCAAUCCAAUAAAAGGACAUCGUUCAACCAUCAAUCCAUGUGUGUGUAGUAAGUGAUUGGCUACGAACCUUCAGCUGACUUGCUUUAUUGGAUAUUUCUGUAAAGCGAGUCCACGGUGUGUGGGUUUAAAAUCUCGUGGCGGCAACUGUUGACGGGUGCAAAUAUCAGUAGCCUUAAAACAAUAAACUUUACUCCGUCCCUUCCGAAAUGCAAGAAUGUCCUAAGUCAAACUUCUUAUGCUGCAGGACCAUAGUUUUUGAGGUGUUCUUCUCACGAGUCCACGAAGAACGGGAAUUUUUUGGUGUCGGGUAAGGGCGGGGGAAUAUAUAGAUGCUAGCAUCAGCAUGACGGGCUAACGGGUCAGGUAGGAUUUUGGACGACGUAGCACCUGACAUGUGGGGGCCACAUGUAAGAAAACCUGUCAAAAUGUCAUAACCCUCUGUUUUGGUCAACUUGAUACAAUCUGAUACAAAACGUGUGGUUUUCCUGACAAAUUAGCAAAUUUUGUGUCUCUGUGAGAAGCACGCCCCAAAAACUGUGGUUCCGUGAAAUUUAUUCACUAGUUACACUUUAUCUACAAACAUCUACGAUUCUAAAAUAGUUUGGUAUAUAUUUUCCGUAAUAUAAUUAUUUGAUAUUCUAAAUUCGGGGAUUUGUUCUUAUAAACUUGGUCGAAGUUUAAAAAGUUUGACUUCGGACAAAGUUACGACUUUUUACAUUUAGGAAUGAAGGGAAUACAUUUUAGUAAAGCAAUUGAGGAAUUGACAGAAUUAAAUAUCUUAAAUUAUACUGGUCCAUCGUGUACUCAUGGCAACAAAAUAAAUUUAUAGUCGAAAAGUUGGACCAUGAAAACUUAAAACGUGAUACAUUAAAAUUGUUGAAUCACUCUACAUCUUGUAAUUUUCUCUUGCAACCUUCUGGCGCGCUACUCAUUCCACAUUUGGUACUAUAUGUAUAAAUGUAUAUAUAUACCGCAUUAGGAGCCUCUAUUACUGUUUUAGUAUAAAUAGCAGUUUCCAUCGACUAUGCACUUCAUUAACUUUUUCUUCACGAGAUAACUUGCUUAUCGAUUUUCUUUAAUUAUCCAGAUGGCUUCUACUAGUUUGUUUCCUUGCUUACUGGGAUUUCCGCAGACUUUACGGUUAGGUAUUAUUGUCGUGUGGACAACACGGUGGCCGGAUGUUGAGAUGAUGAUGUCCUUUAUCUCCGUGUUGCUUCUGAGGACUGCGGAUCCGAGGCUAGUGGCGGUAUGGGAUGCCUCUCUACCUCUUGAUCAGGUCAAUCCGGCUCAGCAAGAGGCGGAUCGAUGGUGGCCGGUGUGACUAGAAGCGGGGAGGUAUAUAUGAAACGUUUCUUGCUUCCAGCAUCUCUUCUAGCGGUAUAUAUGUCGUCAGCUGGUUGAGGGAUUGAUGGCAAUCGAUCAUGGCUACGAUGACAUGUAUACGCGCCGGUAGGAACACAUAUCAGGCAAUGUCGAUGCACCUGCAUUGGGCCCUUGCUGAAGGUGGUGGUGCGUAUGGCAGUCUAAAGAUUUAAGACACAAAUUUAGACUUAAAACUUAAAUAAUCAAUUUGUGCCAGCGGGAAACACACAAACACGUACCGGUAAAUUAUCAUAAUCAGAAUUUGUCGACGAAUUUGAUAUUCUUUUACAAAAUAUACUUAUCUUAAUAUGUAUAACCGGAGUUUAUAUUACAUGCCCCUCUCCCAACGAUAGUUGUAGUACUCUUAUAAUAGUAGUACUCAUGAAUACAGUUAAUCCGGGUUGUUGGGAGAGAUCACAUGCAUAAAUACAACAUGAAACAAACGUGUGAAAAAGGUACAUAAAAUCGGUGUGACCCGUUCUUGUAUUAUAAGAAAUCAACUUGCUUAGGCCUUGCCGGACUCCUCACAACCCGGUGGCUUGAAGGCGAUGAAGCUGAUGCACUGCACUUGCCUGGUGUUGUCGAAGCCGAUGAUGCGGACAUAGGCGUCAGGGUACUCCUUCUUCACCUCCUCCAGCUCCUUUAGCACCUGCGUGGCGUCGGUGCACCCGAACAUGGGAAGCUUCCACAUUGUCCAGUACCUGCCGUCGUAGUACCCGGGAGAGUUGCCGUGCUCACGGAAGACGAAACCGACCUUGCUGAACUCGAGGCAAGGAACCCACUUGGAGCGGAUGAGAUACUCGAUCUGCUUCAAGAGGGACUCCACGGUGAGAGGCGGCAGGUAGGAAAGGGUUUCGAACUUCUUGAUGCCCUCAAUUGGCCACACCUACAAUUAGAUUAAUAAUUAGCACCGAAAGUAUAAUUUGAGACACAUAUCAGUAUUUCACUUCAACAUAUGUACAUGAUGACAUACAUACCUGCAUGCACCUGAUCCUUCCACCGUUGGAGACGCUGCCGAGACCAGCGCUGGCUGAGCGGCGGCCGAUGGGGAGCCCGGCGGUGGACUUGAGGCCCUGGAAAGGAGCAACGGCAGUAGCCGCUGACGACAUCACUGUGGGAGCCAUCGUACACGUACGUAGAUAGCUAACAAGAGGAGGCAGGCUUGCUUGAGUGCUCUCUAGCUACAGCGGCUUAUAUAACUGUAGGCUCCCCACCCAUCCAAUAUCAGCACAAGAUCUAGGAGGGGUGGCUGCAGUUCGCCGCGCGGAUUUGCCCAGGCCACGCUGGCAUCCUACGGAUCAGGUCGGGCGCCACAUGGCCGCACGAAAUGGCGCGCGUUAUCCUCUGGACGGAUACAAUUGGCUGCAACGCACUCUGCAAAUCAUGCCAUGAAGUGACCAAUUUUCACCUAUCAGGAUAGAUCCAAUGUGCCACGGCAUGCACUCAAAAACAGAACUUGCUAAUCCCUCCAAUCCAUAAAAAAUCUCGCCCACUUAUUAGAAAAUUUGUAAUGAGUUAAUGCAAAAUGAGCAGCACUUUUUAUGAACUAGAGGAACAACAAAUUAAGAGAAACUCUUCUAAGAUCUUAUCGAGAACGAAGCUUGCCCCCGCGUCGCUCAGUCUGGGGCGACACGGGCGGCAACCACACCAGCCCCGGCAGCAGCCUCUCCCCGUCCUCUCCUCCCCCUCGCCGCCGCCGGGCAAAGCCCGCACGGGGACGGCGGCGGCGGGGCUGUUUUUCUUGGCGGGGGUGUCCUAGAGCUCUUGGCUGAGGCGUUUGAGGUGCUGCCUCAUCGUGGUCGCGGCGUCUCCGGCCCGAUCCGGCAGGCUAUGCCUCGUCUUCGGCUAGAUCCGGCCGGCUUCCUCCCGGAUCCGGUGUUUCCCCUCGUUCUUCCUCUCCCUGGUGCUCGGUCUGCUCGUGGCUGCGCGGCUUCACGGCGGCGCUCUUCGGCCGGAUCUAGCUACUCGUUGGCCAGAUCCGUCAUCUCCUCCGGCUGAUCCGGCAUGUCCCAGGUCUCUUCGUUUCCAUCAUUUUUCCUCUCAGUUUGGUGAGGCGGCUGAUUGAACUUCACCGGCGGCAGAUGGGCUGCUGCUGCGGCCAUACAUGGUCCAAGUCGGUCCUUUUCGAUGCCAUGGUGGCGUGGUUUUCAUUUUCGGUCGCGUCUUCGGCUGCUGCCCGUGUGCGAGGUAUGGACGUCGGCUCCGGUGUUUGGAGUGUUGCUCUGGAUGAAAACUGCCCGUGUGCGAGGUAUGCCGAAGACAACGAUGUUGUAGCGCCGUUUUCCUUCUUGGAGGUGUCGUCGAAGAGCUUCACUUUCCCUCACUUUGAUGUUUGGUGUCUUCGGGUGAAAACCUAAGAUUUGGCUAUGGCCAGAUCGGGCGACAACGGCGUUUUUACGUCGAUUUCCUCCUUGGGGGCGUUGUCAUGGAGACAACGACUCUUGGUGGCAUCGGGUGGUGUGGUCCGUCUAUGGUGGAGCUUGUUGUCUCGAGUUGUUGAAGGUUUGGUGGUGUCUCUUCUUGUGUCAUGUGUUAGCUUAGGCUGUCGGUUUGUGUCCGGCGAGAACGUGCGUUUCUUAUCCUUUGGUGCGGUUUCGGCAUGUGAUGCCUUUCGUCUUCACUAUCGUCACGUAGGUGUCGUGUUGUAUUCUCGGUGGUGUGUGGUCUUUCGGCUUAGCCAACGGCAAGUGGAGGUAUGAUCUCGGUUGUGUAUUGCCCUUCGACUUCAUCGGCGGCACAUCGGCGUCGCGGUGGGUCUCAGUGACGCGCAGCCCUUCGACUCUGCCGGCUACGUAGGUGUCAUGGUGCGGCCUUGACCCUGUGCUUCCCUUCAGCUACGGCGACGACAUAGUGUCUGGGUGGGCUCGUCAGAUCGACGCCUUUCGACUACAUCAACUAUGCUCUUCAUUGUGCAUUUAUUUUGCCAUUGACAUGUUUCAAGAGUCUAGGUUUUUUCCUUGUGUUUCUUUUAGCAAAUGCUGUUCUGCAGGCUGGCUUUUGCCCACCCGAUCAGAAAAGAAAAACAAAUUAAAGGCUAAAAUCAAGCGAUGUUAUAUUCCCUUAGCUAUUACAAAUAUGGAUGAUAAGAGUUAUUUAUCCUUUUUCAACGAGUAACCCUUUACUUGGAAGUUCCAUGUGCAUGGCGCUGCAAGAAAACAAACAUCAUAAUGGGGCAAGACUUUUUUUUUUAUAAACAUCCAAUUUGGGUUAAAGUCUGAAAGAAUUUGGCUAUCUGAACUUUCAGUUUCCACAUUCUUUUACCUACUCAAUUCUUCAGCCAACAGGAUCAAUGGCGACCUACUAACACCAACCAGAACACAUGGGUCACAAACACGAAAAAGGGCUAGAAGGCUACUUAUACACACUCAUGUGUACUGCGAGCAAAAGAACAUAAUGUACAAAACUUUACAAAAUCUAGGGAAUUAAGACCUUCCCGUAUGCUGUUGCUGCCGCUGCUGCUUCAUGCUGGCUCUCCUGGCAACAUCCCAUGGUUUGUGAGGCACACCUACACCUUGCUGGGAUGCGAAGAACGACUCGUAUCCCGGGGAGUCGAAAGCAAAACCAGUGUGCUUGGAGUUCUCUCGAGGGAGCAUGGAGAUCGCAUAGCUUCUUGCUUCUUCUGGGCUCAAAUGGCUCCUCUCAGGCAGAUGUAUCAUGCUGUAUUCGUGGGGGUCAUCCUUGUGCAUCUCCUGGAUUACUUGGUAGUCAUAGGGAAAGAGCCAUCUUUGGAGCCUGAGAAAGCACACAGCAUCAAAGACAACAAUUGAUUCAGCUACUUCAGUAUGUACAAUGGAAGGAAUAACAAACGGAUGGCAUUAACAAACAUAUAAUUUUGCAAAAGAGCUGGUAUCUUACGAUAGAUACAGGAAAUCACCAAAGAGAGCGAUGACUGGAGCAAGCAUUAGUGUGAGGUAGAAGAAAAAGGUACUCAUCAGAACAUAAAUCACAAAAUAUACAUUUUCCUGCACAAGGUACACAGCA